UACGUAGGGGGCAAGCGUUAUCCGGAUUUACUGGGUGUAAAGGGAGUGUAGGUGGUUGUGCAAGUCAGGAGUGAAAGCCCGGGGCUCAACCCCGGGACUGCUCUUGAAACUGCGCAGCUUGAGUGCAGGAGGGGCAGGCGGAAUUCCUAGUGUAGCGGUGAAAUGCGUAGAUAUUAGGAGGAACACCGGUGGCGAAGGCUGCCUGCUGGACUGUAACUGACACUGAGGCUCGAAAGCGUGGGGAGCAAACAGG
Molecule: ribosomal RNA, 253 nt
Filed under: uncultured bacterium
Lineage: Bacteria
Description: partial 16S ribosomal RNA
Rfam family: Bacterial small subunit ribosomal RNA
Source: RNAcentral